This 254-nucleotide ribosomal RNA is filed under the name uncultured bacterium. RNAcentral's name for it is "partial 16S ribosomal RNA". It matches the Rfam family "Bacterial small subunit ribosomal RNA", at positions 524 to 776 of the family's 1533-position model. The record is from RNAcentral.
UACGUAGGGUGCGAGCGUUGUCCGGAAUUAUUGGGCGUAAAGAGCUCGUAGGCGGUGUGUCGCGUCGGCCGUGAAAACCUGCAGCUCAACUGUGGGCUUGCGGUCGAUACGGGCAUCACUGGAGUUCGGCAGGGGAGACUGGAAUUCCUGGCGUAGCGGUGAAAUGCGCAGAUAUCAGGAGGAACACCGGUGGCGAAGGCGGGUCUCUGGGCCGAUACUGACGCUGAGGAGCGAAAGCGUGGGGAGCGAACAGG